Long non-coding RNA from Micropterus dolomieu (smallmouth bass), 673 nucleotides. RefSeq lists it as uncharacterized. The transcript is spliced from 3 exons. NCBI's taxonomy places the organism in Eukaryota, Metazoa, Chordata, Actinopteri, Centrarchiformes, Centrarchidae. The record is from RefSeq and is a predicted model, not a curated record.
AAAGUUGGAAAGAAAAGAAGAAAUGGAAGAAAAGAUGACAAGAAAGCCAAAUUGGUCAGAGGAGGAAAAUUUUUUUACUGCUAGAGGUAUUUAAUAAAACAAAGCACGUAAUAAAAAGUAAAUUUGAUCCGCAAAUAACGGCAAACAAAAAACAAUGGAUGUGGAAAGAAAUAGCGUUAAAAAUAAAUUCAAGAAGUCUUAUUAAGACGUCCAUUCAGAAGAUCCAAAAGAAAUAUGACAACUUGUCUGUUCUCGCCAAAAAGGAGAUUACCAACUACAGGAGAGAGUCCAAUAAAACUGUACUAUUGAGGUCACUUUCCCUGUGGAUUAUUGUCCAACUCAUUGUCGGUGUGACUGGAGCAUCCAUAGUGUGUCAUGUUUUGGAGUUAGGUUCAUGCCUGUUUUCCAUUCCAGCACACAGGAGGUGUGGCUUGUGGGGACAACACUGUCUUCUAUUUCUCAGAAUGCCUUUGCCAACUUGGCCAACAUUUCUCACAUGUAAGAUUCCCCCGCCCCCACCUCACCCCCACUAACUAUUCUUUCAAACCAGCGUAAAUGGCAGGAAUAGGGAAUGUCACUAGAAACUAGCAGGGAGAGCACUAAAAAUCUCCACCAAAGCUGUAGGAUCUAUUACGUUUAUUGCAUAUUAAUAGAAAAUGUUUUCAACAUGUUA